This 253-nucleotide ribosomal RNA is filed under the name uncultured bacterium. RNAcentral describes it as "partial 16S ribosomal RNA". It matches the Rfam family "Bacterial small subunit ribosomal RNA", at positions 524 to 776 of the family's 1533-position model. The record is from RNAcentral.
UACGUAGGGGGCAAGCGUUGUCCGGAAUCAUUGGGCGUAAAGCGCGUGUAGGCGGUUCGGUAAGUCCGCUGUGAAAGUCGGGGGCUUAACCCUCGGAUGCCGGUGGAUACUGUCGGGCUUGAGUACGGAAGAGGCGAGUGGAAUUCCUGGUGUAGCGGUGAAAUGCGCAGAUAUCAGGAGGGACACCAAUUGCGAAGGCAGCUCGCUGGGACGUUACUGACGCUGAGACGCGAAAGCGUGGGGAGCAAACAGG